GGUGGUAAUGCCGGAUGUUCCACAUGAUCGCAUGUGAUUGUGGGAAAGAUUCUAUCGGCGUGGGAUGGGGUCGCGUCCUAUCAGCUUGUUGGUGAGGUAACGGCUCACCAAGGCUUCGACGGGUAGCCGGCCUGAGAGGGCGACCGGCCACAUUGGGACUGAGAUACGGCCCAGACUCCUACGGGAGGCAGCAGUGGGGAAUAUUGCACAAUGGGCGCAAGCCUGAUGCAGCGACGCCGCGUGAGGGAUGGAGGCCUUCGGGUUGUAAACCUCUUUUGUUUGGGAGCAAGCCUUCGGGUGAGUGUACCUUUCGAAUAAGCGCCGGCUAACUACGUGCCAGCAGCCGCGGUAAUACGUAGGGCGCAAGCGUUAUCCGGAUUUAUUGGGCGUAAAGGGCUCGUAGGCGGCUCGUCGCGUCCGGUGUGAAAGUCCAUCGCUUAACGGUGGAUCUGCGCCGGGUACGGGCGGGCUGGAGUGCGGUAGGGGAGACUGGAAUUCCCGGUGUAACGGUGGAAUGUGUAGAUAUCGGAAAGAACACC
Molecule: ribosomal RNA, 539 nt
Filed under: Bifidobacterium bifidum
Lineage: Bacteria; Bacillati; Actinomycetota; Actinomycetes; Bifidobacteriales; Bifidobacteriaceae
Description: bacterial SSU rRNA
Rfam family: Bacterial small subunit ribosomal RNA
Source: RNAcentral